GGCAGGGGGGCGGCCCCUUCCCCAAGCUCGGUUGGCCCUGUUCCUCCUCCCCUUCGCUAGCAGCUGCGCCUAGCCCGGGACUGGACCGAGUUAGAGUUGAGGCGCCGGAGGAGUAGCGCAGAGUGCGUGCGUCCCCCGCGGGGGGGUCCGUGCCUGCGAGCGGCGGGGAGCCGGGCUCCAGCCCAGUUUGGUGCAGCCUUGGCAGAGACCGACAAGGAGAGGGAGCUCUAUUAACACACUGUUUUUGUGGAGGGUGGCAAGUUGAUACAAGAAGAGCAGGUUCCCCAAAGAGAGCAGGGGAAAAGUCUUGGAGUAACUUAUUAAGGUAAACAGAUUGCAGUGGAUUUCUGAAUGGGUAAGUGUUGAUGAGCAGGAUUUUUCUGCUUCUCCUAUUCACUUUUUUUUCAUAAAUUCUUUUUAAAGAAAUACACAGAAGGCUGCUUCUAGCUUUGCGCAGAGGUUCAGUGGUAUCCC
This 474-nucleotide long non-coding RNA is filed under the name Apteryx owenii (little spotted kiwi). RNAcentral describes it as "lncRNA (ENSAOWG00000015349.1)". Lineage: Eukaryota; Metazoa; Chordata; Aves; Apterygiformes; Apterygidae. The record is from RNAcentral.